GACGGGGGGGCAAGUGUUCUUCGGAAUGACUGGGCGUAAAGGGCACGUAGGCGGUGAAUCGGGUUUGAAAGUGAAAGUCGCCAAAAAAGUGGCGGGAAUGCUCUCGAAACCAAUUCACUUGAGUGAGACAGAGGAGAGUGGAAUUUCGUGUGGUAGGGGUGAAAUCCGUAGAUCUACGAAAGGAAACGCCAAAAAGCGAA
Molecule: ribosomal RNA, 200 nt
Filed under: uncultured bacterium
Lineage: Bacteria
Description: partial 16S ribosomal RNA
Rfam family: Bacterial small subunit ribosomal RNA
Source: RNAcentral